AUCCAAUGACUUGUCAGCCAGAGUAACGGCUGUUGUCAGGUCUUCAGGGUCUCGAGGUCGGUUUCUUCCUAACGCCGCCAACCCCAAGCUAAGGUAGACAUGAUCGCCAAGGCAGCUGAUUGUCCCAAGGAAUAAGUAUGAGCAAUGAGCACAGAGGGAAAAUCAUGAAACAUCUGAGGACCAUGAGAACUGCUAAAACAAUACGUAGAACUAGCUAUACCAGAGAAAGUCAAGUGAAUGGAUCAGACAAUAAGAAUUGAAAAUAAGCUUAAUAGAGCUUCAGAGAAAGAAGGGAGAAUGUUGGAAACACAAAGCACAAACAAGCAUUUGUGAAUUGGAUGUUGACAAAUAUUAAUGAAAUAACUCAAUGGAUGGGUUGAAUAUAGCUGGACAGUUCACUCAUGAACCGGAAGAUUAGAGCAAGGAAGGAACUAAGAAAUGGAAAGCAUGAAAGGAGAGUUAAGAAAUGUGGAAGGUAGAAGCAUAAAUAUUUUUCUAAUGGAAAUUCCAGAAGGGGAAAAAAAGAACAUGUGAAAGAAUUAUUGCUGAGAAUUUCCCAGAAUUGAAGACAUACUUUAGAAUGAAAAAGGCCAACUCUAACUUUGGGAUUUCUAGCUUCAGAGAAAUGAAAAUUUAGAAUGACCAAGGGGA
RNAcentral lists this long non-coding RNA (651 nucleotides) under Homo sapiens (human). RNAcentral's name for it is "novel transcript". The record is from RNAcentral. Lineage: Eukaryota; Metazoa; Chordata; Mammalia; Primates; Hominidae.